Molecule: unclassified non-coding RNA, 486 nt
Filed under: Zea mays
Lineage: Eukaryota; Viridiplantae; Streptophyta; Magnoliopsida; Poales; Poaceae
Description: misc RNA Zm00001eb277030
Source: RNAcentral
GCGCCAUACCUCCGUCUCAGCACAGCACAGCCGACGCAGCACAACUGCACAAGAUGGCCGCUCACGGCUCGCCCGCUCCUCGCCUGGCCGGCCGACCGCCUGCUCGUCCGUCCACGGCCGUGGCCGCUGCCCGCCUCCGUCUCUGGCUCUGGCUCUGGCUUGCUGCUUCCUGCGGGCUGCGGUCCUACAUGGCCGCCUCUGCCUUCCUGCUGUGUGCGGCUCGUUGGGCGUUGGCCGCCCGGCGGCCGCACGGUCGUGCUCCACCUCCACUGCUCCACGACUGCUUCUGCUUGCCUGCUUUGUUGCUUGCUUUGAUGUUUGCUUUGCUUUGCUGUGCCUGCUCCGCCUGCUUCGGUCGUGCUCCACUGCUCCGCCUGCUUGCUUUGCUGCUUGCAAAUUCGGCUGCUUGCAAAUUGCAAAUUCUCCUAGACGUAACUAAAAUAAUUGUUGAUUGGCAUAUAAUCUAUAAGGGAUUCUUCAUCUAAG